CACUAAUCUCUUGUAAUUUAUUAAAGUACAAAUAGUUAUGUGUAAUAGCAGUUUAUGUGUGUAAAAUACUGUGUGCAUCACCGUGUUCUAAUUUAGUGAAAGAAAAAUUGCCACUGUUGUUCCUUUGGUGAUGGUACAAAACACCUAUAUGGAUACCCGCGGAAUAAUUUAAAAUAAGACCUUAAUUUCUAAAGAAAUUUGAAAUGCCACCUUUUAACUCUUCCAAGAAGGUAGUGUGUAACACUCCUUUGUGUUAUAACAUUACACUUUGUCCUAGGAAACGGAACUUGUUGCCCUUUCAUUGGCUUUUAUCUUAUUCUUACUUAGAUCAUAUCAAUGCUCAGUUGAUAACAUGAGCACAAUGUGAAUUAACAAAAAAUGCCAGUCUGCCUUCAGCCGCACUUGUUUCACUUCCACAUUUUCCUGUUGGGAGCUGCAACCCUCUUUGUCUAAUGGAUGGAAAUACAGACAAAACAGAAAUGUGCUUCUUCGUAUUCAAAUUUGUAAGUCAAAAGAUUUGCAAAAGGUUUGCACAUACAAACUGCCCCCUGCAAAAUGUCCGAAUGGAUUGCUAGGAACUCUCCUGAGCGCAGUUCUUGCAGGUUAAACGGCUGGAAAAAGUCUUCCUUGAACUGUUGAUACCUUGGCAACUUUGUAUUGAGUGCUCUAGCUGUGUAACACUGUUUCACCACGAGAAAGUGAUCUGGCUCUGUAAUCUGACUGCGGUGUCAUUUACACGGCAGGUUUAUGGCGGCAGGAGUCUCAGAGGACUUGCGGGCCAGAAUUCCACCCACCCUUUCAGCGAUGAUACCGACCAGGAUGGCUCUCACUUAACCAGAGGGACUGCUGUGAUGGAAGAGAAGAUGGCAGUGGUGAACGUGAAACGAGUACAUUGGGGUUUUUGCAUGAUGUUUGGGAGAGAAAUCUGCUUCACAUGCGGUGUCUGAACCUUGGAGUGACAAAACAUGUCUCAGUCAGGUGAAAAAGUAAAGGUAAAGAGAUGGCUGCAUGGCCAAAACUUUGUUUAGAAUCUAUUUAACUUCUAAAAUACUUGUGAUUUUAUUGAAGUGGUAAAACAGUGAAUAAAUGAUACCUUAUUGCUUCAUAUGUGGUUCUCAAAAGGAUCUGCUUGGUAGAAACAGAGCUUGCAUGUGUUUCUAGAAAUAGGCUUUCAGGUGAUUGCCAGAUUCAGUGUUUGCUUACAUAUUUAGAAUGGUGCCUUUAUCUAAGGAAAGUUAAUUUGAUGAACCUUCAUUUCUUAUGUAUUGCCCCAUCUGAG
This 1279-nucleotide long non-coding RNA is filed under the name Amazona collaria (yellow-billed parrot). RNAcentral's name for it is "lncRNA (ENSACOG00000005327.1)". The record is from RNAcentral. Lineage: Eukaryota; Metazoa; Chordata; Aves; Psittaciformes; Psittacidae.